CAAGGAAUAUUGCCCAAUGGACGAAAGUCUGAGGCAGCAACGCCGCGUGGAGGAAGAAGGCCUUCGGGUUGUAAACUCCUUUUCUGGGGGAAGAGAAAGGACGGUACCCCAGGAAUAAGUCUCGGCUAACUACGUGCCAGCAGCCGCGGUAAAACGUAGGAGGCGAGCGUUAUCCGGAUUUACUGGGCGUAAAGCGCGUGCAGGCGGUUUUCUAAGUCGGACGUGAAAGCUCUCGGCUCAACUGGGAGAGGUCGUUCGAAACUAGGAAACUUGAGGAUGGUAGAGGAGAGUGGAAUUCCCGGUGUAGUGGUGAAAUGCGUAGAUAUCGGGAGGAACACCAGUGGCGAAGGCGGCUCUCUGGGCCACUCCUGACGCUAAGACGCGAAAGCUAGGGGAGAGAACGGGAUUAGAAACCCCGGUAUUCCUAGCCGUAAACGAUGUCAACUAGGUGUAGGGGGUAUCCAACCCCCUGUGCUGUAGCUAACGCGUUAAGUUGACCGCCUGGGGACUACGGCCGCAAGGCUAAAACUCAAAUGAAUUGG
This 542-nucleotide ribosomal RNA is filed under the name uncultured Chloroflexota bacterium. Its description in RNAcentral is "bacterial SSU rRNA". It matches the Rfam family "Bacterial small subunit ribosomal RNA", at positions 355 to 913 of the family's 1533-position model. Lineage: Bacteria; Bacillati; Chloroflexota. The record is from RNAcentral.